This 484-nucleotide ribosomal RNA is filed under the name uncultured bacterium. Its description in RNAcentral is "partial 16S ribosomal RNA". It matches the Rfam family "Bacterial small subunit ribosomal RNA", at positions 29 to 507 of the family's 1533-position model. The record is from RNAcentral.
AUUGAACGCUGGCGGCAUGCUUUACACAUGCAAGUCGAACGGCAGCGCGGGCUUCGGCCUGGCGGCGAGUGGCGAACGGGUGAGUAAUACAUCGGAACGUGCCCUGUAGUGGGGGAUAGCUCGGCGAAAGCCGGAUUAAUACCGCAUACGACCUGAGGGUGAAAGCGGGGGAUCUUCGGACCUCGCGCUAUUUGAGCGGCCGAUGGCAGAUUAGCUAGUUGGUGGGGUAAAGGCCUACCAAGGCGACGAUCUGUAGCUGGUCUGAGAGGACGACCAGCCAGACUGGGACUGAGACACGGCCCAGACUCCUACGGGAGGCAGCAGUGGGGAAUUUUGGACGAUGGGCGAAAGCCUGAUACAGCAAUGCCGCGUGUGUGAUGAAGGCCUUCGGGUUGUAAAGCACCUUUGGCGGGAACGAAAAGGACUGUGCCAAUACCACGGUUCGAUGACGGUACCCGCAGAAUAAGCACCGGCUAACUACGUG